CUUUCCCAAGUUUACUCUGCAAAACCCAAAAACCUCAAACCUAAGACUCUCCAUAGACGGCGAAACCUACCACAAUUCUCUACGCGACGACGAUUUACGGUGGUGGAGAUUUAGGUGGCGGCGUUUUCUUUUCCCGGUGGUGCUUCUUCCGACGUAAUUUCAAAUUUCAAGUCUAAGUUAUUGAUCCCAAGGACAGCAUCAGCAUUCUCGUGUGUAAAUAACACCUGCAGUAAGCGCUUUGAUAGCCCAAAUACUGACACGUUUCUUCCAGGAAUGGACGGUGAUGUAAGCGCUUUGACGUCAUGGGAGGCUAGCAGCAACCCAGCACCUGGCAGCUAUGGGUUCUCUUUGCAGACCCAAGGGAACAAAGACAAUACAUUGGUUAUUUUGGAAAAUGGAUGAUUGUCUUCAGGACUGUAAUUGUGUAGCCUACUCUUGCGGUGCUGCUAAUUACACAGGUGGAUCAAAUGAGAUGUGCUUGAUGUGGAGUAAUGAACUUACUGACUUACAAGAGGAGUAUCACGGCGGGCUUACUAUCUUUGUUCGCAGUACACUUUCUGAUAUAGAAUUGACUUCUGAAGACUGCAAGCCUUGCGGGACUUAUACUAUUCCCUAUCCGCUUGGCACUUCUGCUGAUUGUGGCGAUCCCUCAUACUUUAAUUUUCAUUGUAAUGAGGAAACUUGGCAUAUUGUCAAGUUUGGCCUCAUACUACUUGCAAAGUGGCAAGAGACGGUGAAAGAAGGUGCAUUUGUCGAAAAAAAUUUCAUUGGGAUGGAUAUAAUGUAAGAUGUGAGGAAGCUUUUGGUGGACAAAAGGCCUGCUGAUAGUAACGAUGAUAGUAAAGCCCCUGCAUCUGCUACCGCCCAUGCUCAAUACAUGGAAGUACUUUUCAGAUUGUCAGUUUCCAAGUUAUGACAAAGAGCAGAUUGACGAAGUAAGAACCGAUUGGUGCGCUAUGUUGUUCAACAAUUGUAUAAUCUCUAGGUUAUGUUGAAGGAACCAACAAACAUAAGACUCUAUUGAAGUGUUGAUUAAUGUAUUCUACGUAGUUUAAUUUUUAGUUUUAGUUUAGAUCUAUGUAAUCGAUUUUAUUAGGGUGACAAUUGUAAAAAUUCUUUUAAUUGAGGUAUGAAAAUUAAUUUUCAACUA
This is a long non-coding RNA of Spinacia oleracea (spinach), 1150 nucleotides long. RefSeq lists it as uncharacterized. NCBI's taxonomy places the organism in Eukaryota, Viridiplantae, Streptophyta, Magnoliopsida, Caryophyllales, Amaranthaceae. The transcript has 6 exons. The record is from RefSeq and is a predicted model, not a curated record.